GGGCGAUUAGCUCAGUUGGUUAGAGCGCUUGCGUGACAUGCAAGAGGUCACAAGUUCGAGUCUUGUAUCGCCCACGA
Molecule: transfer RNA, 77 nt
Filed under: Candidatus Zhuqueibacterota bacterium
Lineage: Bacteria; Pseudomonadati
Description: candidate division KSB1 bacterium tRNA-Val
Rfam family: tRNA
About the family: Transfer RNA (tRNA) molecules are approximately 80 nucleotides in length.
Source: RNAcentral